Molecule: ribosomal RNA, 253 nt
Filed under: uncultured bacterium
Lineage: Bacteria
Description: partial 16S ribosomal RNA
Rfam family: Bacterial small subunit ribosomal RNA
Source: RNAcentral
UACAGAGGUGGCAAGCGUUGUUCGGAAUUACUGGGCGUAAAGGGCGCGUAGGCGGCCCGUCAAGUCCCGUGUGAAAGCCCCCGGCUCAACCGGGGAACGGCGCGGGAAACUAGCAGGCUUGAGUUCGGGAGAGGGAAGCGGAAUUCCGGGUGUAGCGGUGAAAUGCGCAGAUAUCCGGAGGAACACCGGUGGCGAAGGCGGCUUCCUGGACCGACACUGACGCUGAGGCGCGAAAGAUAGGGGAGCAAACGGG